UACGUAGGGUGCGAGCGUUAAUCGGAAUUACUGGGCGUAAAGCGUGCGCAGGCGGUUUGCUAAGACCGAUGUGAAAUCCCCGGGCUUAACCUGGGAACUGCAUUUGUGACUGGCAGGCUAGAGUAUGGCAGAGGGGGGUAGAAUUCCACGUGUAGCAGUGAAAUGCGUAGAGAUGUGGAGGAAUACCGAUGGCGAAGGCAGCCCCCUGGGCCAAUACUGACGCUCAUGCACGAAAGCGUGGGGAGCAAACAGG
This 253-nucleotide ribosomal RNA is filed under the name uncultured bacterium. RNAcentral's name for it is "partial 16S ribosomal RNA". It matches the Rfam family "Bacterial small subunit ribosomal RNA", at positions 524 to 776 of the family's 1533-position model. The record is from RNAcentral.